GGCCUGGUGGUGUAGCGGCAACAUGUCCUUUACAAAUGACUAGCGAAAAAUUUCACAUAGGAAGACCCCUGUUCAAUUCAGGGCUAGGCCA
This is a non-coding RNA of Mycena galericulata, 91 nucleotides long. The record is from the annotation of a GenBank genome assembly. Lineage: Eukaryota; Fungi; Basidiomycota; Agaricomycetes; Agaricales; Mycenaceae.